Molecule: unclassified non-coding RNA, 347 nt
Filed under: soil metagenome
Description: partial contains 5.8S ribosomal RNA, internal transcribed spacer 2, and large subunit ribosomal RNA
Rfam family: 5.8S ribosomal RNA (bases 1-120)
Source: RNAcentral
GAUGAAGAACGUAGCGAAAUGCGAUAAGUAAUGUGAAUUGCAGAAUUCAGUGAAUCAUCGAGUCUUUGAACGCACAUUGCGCCCCCUGGUAUUCCGGGGGGCAUGCCUGUCCGAGCGUCAUUGCUGCCCUCAAGCACGGCUUGUGUGUUGGGCCCCCGUCCCCGGUUUCCCCCGGGGACGGGCCCGAAAGGCAGCGGCGGCACCGCGUCCGGUCCUCGAGCGUAUGGGGCUUUGUCACCCGCUCUGUAGGCCCGGCCGGCGCCAGCCGACACCCAACUUUAUUUCUAAGGUUGACCUCGGAUCAGGUAGGGAUACCCGCUGAACUUAAGCAUAUCAAUAAGCGGAGG